RNAcentral lists this ribosomal RNA (638 nucleotides) under uncultured archaeon. RNAcentral describes it as "bacterial SSU rRNA". It matches the Rfam family "Archaeal small subunit ribosomal RNA", at positions 1 to 646 of the family's 1478-position model. The record is from RNAcentral.
UUCUGGUUGAUCCUGCCGGACCUGACUGCUAUCGGAUUGAUACUAAGCCAUGCGAGUUUUUGUAGCAAUACAAGGCAGACGGCUCAGUAACACGUAGUCAAUCUAACCUAUGGAUGAGGAUAACCUCGGGAAACUGAGAAUAAUACUCAAUAGAUCAUAAUGCCUGGAACGGUUUAUGGUUCAAAUGAAUUUCGCCAUAGGGUGGGACUGCGGUCUAUCAGCUUGUUGGUGAGGUAAUGGCCCACCAAGGCUAUAACAGAUACGGGCUCUGAGAGGAGAAGCCCGGAGAUGGGUACUGAGACACGGACCCAGGCCCUAUGGGGCGCAGCAGGCGAGAAAACUUUGCAAUGUGCGAAAGCACGACAAGGUUAAUCCGAGUGAUUCCUGCUAAAGGAAUCUUUUGUUAGUUGUAACACCACUGAUGAAUAAGGGGUGGGCAAGUUCUGGUGUCAGCCGCCGCGGUAAAACCAGCACCUCAAGUGGUCAGGAGGAUUAUUGGGCCUAAAGCAUCCGUAGCCGGCUCUGUAAGUUUUCGGUUAAAUCUAUAUGCUCAACAUAUAGGCUGCCGGGAAUACUGCAAAGCUAGGAAGUGGGAGAGGUAGACGGUACUCCGUAGGAAGGGGUAAAAAUCCUUUGAU